AGUCGAACGAAGCACUUAUCUUUGAUUCUUCGGAUGAAGAGAUUUGUGACUGAGUGGCGGACGGGUGAGUAACGCGUGGGUAACCUGCCUCAUACAGGGGGAUAACAGUUAGAAAUGACUGCUAAUACCGCAUAAGACCACAGAGCCGCAUGGCUCGGUGGGAAAAACUCCGGUGGUAUGAGAUGGACCCGCGUCUGAUUAGGUAGUUGGUGGGGUAACGGCCUACCAAGCCAACGAUCAGUAGCCGACCUGAGAGGGUGACCGGCCACAUUGGGACUGAGACACGGCCCAAACUCCUACGGGAGGCAGCAGUGGGGAAUAUUGCACAAUGGGGGAAACCCUGAUGCAGCGACGCCGCGUGAGCGAAGAAGUAUUUCGGUAUGUAAAGCUCUAUCAGCAGGGAAGAAAAUGACGGUACCUGACUAAGAAGCACCGGCUAAAUACGUGCCAGCAGCCGCGGUAAUACGUAUGGUGCAAGCGUUAUCCGGAUUUACUGGGUGUAAAGGGAGCGUAGGCGGCUGUGUAAGUCUGAAGUGAAAGCCCGGGGCUCAACCCCGGGACUGCUUUGGAAACUAUGCAGCUAGAGUGUCGGAGAGGUAAGUGGAAUUCCCAGUGUAGCGGUGAAAUGCGUAGAUAUUGGGAGGAACACCAGUGGCGAAGGCGGCUUACUGGACGAUGACUGACGUUGAGGCUCGAAAGCGUGGGGAGCAAACAGGAUUAGAUACCCUGGUAGUCCACGCCGUAAACGAUGACUACUAGGUGUCGGGGAGCAAAGCUCUUCGGUGCCGCAGCAAACGCAAUAAGUAGUCCACCUGGGGAGUACGUUCGCAAGA
This 833-nucleotide ribosomal RNA is filed under the name uncultured bacterium. RNAcentral describes it as "bacterial SSU rRNA". It matches the Rfam family "Bacterial small subunit ribosomal RNA", at positions 60 to 893 of the family's 1533-position model. The record is from RNAcentral.